CUGGUGAUGAUGGUGUGGUGGUGCUGAUGAGAAAAAAGAGUAAUCUGUUUUAGUUGAAAGAUCUGAGUUUGGCCUCGUACUUUAAGGAAAUUGAGGUGUGGAAACAAAAGACAAUCUUGAACAGAAGACCAACAUAACUGCACAUUAAGUAGAGAAAAAGCCUGAAAGUACAGAAAAAGGGUGUGGAUGAAACAGGACAUGAUGUUGCACCAUAGAUGUUACUAAGUAAGUUUGUUUUCUUUCACUUCGUAUUUGUGUGCUUACAAGGUGACCAAAAUGCCCAGAGUGGUUUAGUGCAAUGAUA
This is a long non-coding RNA of Papaver somniferum (opium poppy), 304 nucleotides long. RefSeq lists it as uncharacterized. NCBI's taxonomy places the organism in Eukaryota, Viridiplantae, Streptophyta, Magnoliopsida, Ranunculales, Papaveraceae. The record is from RefSeq and is a predicted model, not a curated record. The transcript has 3 exons.